Long non-coding RNA from Bos taurus (domestic cattle), 526 nucleotides. The record is from Ensembl. NCBI's taxonomy places the organism in Eukaryota, Metazoa, Chordata, Mammalia, Artiodactyla, Bovidae.
GGACAGAGGAGCCUGGCAGGCUACAUUCCAUGGACUCACAGAGUCAGACACGACUGAAGGGAUUUAGCGCAAGCCACUGGGGAAGCCCUAUUGCUCACUAUAGUAGGCUAAAAUAAAGAUUCCUCAGGAUGUUCAAGCCCUAAUCCUCGGAGGAACGUGUCAGUGCUACUUUGUAUGACAAAUGGGACUCUGCAAAUGUGAUCAAGGAGGGACACAUGAGAAGCUGGAGGAGGAGGAAAUAUGAUGUAAGAGACUGGAGUGAUGUACUUUAAAGAGGGAUGAGGAGGCUACAAGCUGAGAAACACAGGAGGCCACUAGAAGUUGGAAAAGGAGCUAGGAGUCAUGUACGGAUGUGAGAGUUGGACCAUAAAGAAGGCUGAGCACCAAAGAACUGAUGUUUCCGAACUUGGUGCUGGAGAACGCUCUUGAGAGUCCCCUGGACUGCAAACCAGUCAAUCCUAAAGGAAAUCAACCCUGAAUAUACAUUGGAAGGACUGAUACUGAAGCUGAAGCUCCAAUAUUUUGG